This 488-nucleotide ribosomal RNA is filed under the name uncultured bacterium. RNAcentral's name for it is "partial 16S ribosomal RNA". It matches the Rfam family "Bacterial small subunit ribosomal RNA", at positions 28 to 507 of the family's 1533-position model. The record is from RNAcentral.
GAUGAACGCUAGCGGCAGGCUUAACACACGCAAGUCGAGGGGCAGCAUAAUGGAUAGCAAUAUCUAUGGUGGCGACCGGCGCACGGGUGCGUAACGCGUAUGCAACCUACCUUUAACAGGGGGAUAACACUGAGAAAUUGGUACUAAUACCCCAUAAUAUCAUAGAAGGCAUCUUUUAUGGUUGAAAAUUCCGAUGGUUAGAGAUGGGCAUGCGUUGUAUUAGCUAGUUGGUGGGGUAACGGCUCACCAAGGCGACGAUACAUAGGGGGACUGAGAGGUUAACCCCCCACACUGGUACUGAGACACGGACCAGACUCCUACGGGAGGCAGCAGUGAGGAAUAUUGGUCAAUGGACGCAAGUCUGAACCAGCCAUGCCGCGUGCAGGAUGACGGCUCUAUGAGUUGUAAACUGCUUUUGUACGAGGGUAAACGCAGAUACGUGUAUCUGUCUGAAAGUAUCGUACGAAUAAGGAUCGGCUAACUCCGUG